AAACUUUCAACAACGGAUCUCUUGGUUCUGGCAUCGAUGAAGAACGCAGCGAAAUGCGAUAAGUAAUGUGAAUUGCAGAAUUCAGUGAAUCAUCGAAUCUUUGAACGCACAUUGCGCCCCUUGGUAUUCCGAGGGGCAUGCCCGUUCGAGCGUCAUUU
RNAcentral lists this ribosomal RNA (158 nucleotides) under Penidiella carpentariae. RNAcentral's name for it is "5.8S ribosomal RNA". It matches the Rfam family "5.8S ribosomal RNA". Rfam says of the family: 5.8S ribosomal RNA (5.8S rRNA) is a component of the large subunit of the eukaryotic ribosome. It is transcribed by RNA polymerase I as part of the 45S precursor that also contains 18S and 28S rRNA. The record is from RNAcentral. Lineage: Eukaryota; Fungi; Ascomycota; Dothideomycetes; Mycosphaerellales; Teratosphaeriaceae.